RNAcentral lists this ribosomal RNA (183 nucleotides) under uncultured bacterium. RNAcentral's name for it is "partial 16S ribosomal RNA". It matches the Rfam family "Bacterial small subunit ribosomal RNA", at positions 1317 to 1500 of the family's 1533-position model. The record is from RNAcentral.
UACAUGAAGCUGGAAUCGCUAGUAAUCGCGGAUCAGAAUGCCGCGGUGAAUACGUUCCCGGGUCUUGUACACACCGCCCGUCACACCAUGGGAGUCGGGAAUGCCCGAAGUCAGCGGCCCAACCGAAAGGGGGAGCUGCCGAAGGCAGGCCUGGUGACUGGGGUGAAGUCGUAACAAGGUACC